Non-coding RNA from Taeniopygia guttata (zebra finch), 463 nucleotides. The record is from RefSeq and is a predicted model, not a curated record. NCBI's taxonomy places the organism in Eukaryota, Metazoa, Chordata, Aves, Passeriformes, Estrildidae.
CAGGUCUCUCAUACAGCAGCUUGUCCUUGGAGUGUCUUGAGGUGGCCAGGCAAUAUCAGCAAGGAAAGUGAAAAUAGCAAAAGGAGCACCUGGAGUUUUGGAGAUAGCAUCCUCCAAAAGACCUUCAGAACAUCUUAACUUCAUCUAUUAACAGAGUUUUUAAAAACUCAGCAUAACUUUAAUUGACAUAAAGAAGCUGAAUCCCCACUGGAAAUCCCCAAACACAUGGCAUUACAAAAGGAGCUACAAGACAAACAUAUAGGAGACAGCUGACUUUGGCAACAGUCUGGAAGAGUUCCCCUUAGCUCCUCCUCCAAAAGUUUACUUCCAAACAUAUUCUCACAUAGAAAUCACUUCUCUGCACCUUAAGAAAGGUACAUAUAAAAUAUGAUGUGGAUUUUGUCAUUGUCAUGCCUUAGAGUUUCAUUUUUCUUGGCCAACCACAGGAAAAAGAUAUAAGACA